AUCCAACUGACGAAUCCUAAAUAGGAUGAAACGCACGUCUUGGAU
Schistosoma rodhaini is the source of this 45-nucleotide non-coding RNA. The record is from Rfam. NCBI's taxonomy places the organism in Eukaryota, Metazoa, Platyhelminthes, Trematoda, Strigeidida, Schistosomatidae.